CCUACGGGUGGCAGCAGUGGGGAAUAUUGCACAAUGGGGGGAACCCUGAUGCAGCGAAGCCGCGUGGGUGAAGGAGUAUCUCGGUAUGUAAAGCCCUAUCAGCAGGGAAGAACAAUGACGGUCCCUUACUAAGAAGUACCGGCUAAAUACGUGACAGCAGCCGCGGUAAUACGGAUGGUGCAAGCGUUAUCCGGAUUUACUGGGUGUAAAGGGAGCGCAGGCGGCGUGUUAAGCCUGGUGUGAAAGUCCGCGGCCCAACCGCGGGACUGCAGUGGGACCUGGCGCGAUGGAGUGCGGGAGGGGGAGGCGGAAGGCGUGGUGUAGCGGUGAAAUGCGUAGAUAUUAGGAGGAACACCAGUGGCGAAGGCGGCCUACUGGACGGUGACUGACGCUGAUGCGCGAAAGCGUGGGGAUCAAACAGGAUUAGAUACCCUAGUAGUC
Molecule: ribosomal RNA, 441 nt
Filed under: uncultured bacterium
Lineage: Bacteria
Description: partial 16S ribosomal RNA
Rfam family: Bacterial small subunit ribosomal RNA
Source: RNAcentral